CCCUUAGACGUUCUGGGCCGCACGCGCGCUACACUGACGGAGCCAGCGAGUAUAAACCUUGGCCGAGAGGUCUGGGAAAUCUUGUGAAACUCCGUCGUGCUGGGGAUAGAGCAUUGUAAUUAUUGCUCUUCAACGAGGAAUUCCUAGUAAGCGCAAGUCAUCAGCUUGCGUUGAUUACGCCCCUGCCCUUUGUACACACCGCCCGUCGCUACUACCGAUUGAAUGGCUUAGUGAGGCUUCCGGAUUGGUUUAGAGAAGGGGGCAACUCCAUCUUGGAACCGAGAAGCUAGUCAAACUUGGUCAUUUAGAGGAAGUAAAAGUCGUAACA
This 328-nucleotide ribosomal RNA is filed under the name uncultured eukaryote. RNAcentral describes it as "partial 18S ribosomal RNA". It matches the Rfam family "Eukaryotic small subunit ribosomal RNA", at positions 1470 to 1796 of the family's 1831-position model. The record is from RNAcentral.